UAGCCGUAAACGAUACUCGCUAGGUGUCGGCCACGGUGCGACCGUUGUCGGUGCCGUAGGGAAGCCGUGAAGCGAGCCACCUGGGAAGUACGGCCGCAAGGCUGAAACUUAAAGGAAUUGGCGGGGAAGCACCACAACGGGUGGAGCUUGCGGUUUAAUUGGAUUCAACGCCGGAAAUCUUACCGGGACCGACAGCAACAUGAAGGCCAGGCUGAAGACUUUGCCGGAUUAGCUGAGAGGAGGUGCAUGGCGUAGUCGUGU
Molecule: ribosomal RNA, 261 nt
Filed under: uncultured archaeon
Lineage: Archaea
Description: partial 16S ribosomal RNA
Rfam family: Archaeal small subunit ribosomal RNA
Source: RNAcentral